Long non-coding RNA from Salvia miltiorrhiza (redroot sage), 357 nucleotides. RefSeq lists it as uncharacterized. The transcript is spliced from 2 exons. NCBI's taxonomy places the organism in Eukaryota, Viridiplantae, Streptophyta, Magnoliopsida, Lamiales, Lamiaceae. The record is from RefSeq and is a predicted model, not a curated record.
CCGCCGCGUCGCCCUCCCUCUCGCUGGCUGCACAGGCCCACGGCCGUGGAGGAGCCGCCGUCGCCGGAGACAGCCCAGAUCGGAACCACGGCAGGUUCACCGCCGCCGCUCCGUCGCCGGCGACGAGCCACCGCGGCUGCCGCCUCCCUCUGAUCUCGACUCACACACACACAGCAGAGUCAGCCCCCCCCCCUUCAAAGGUUUCAAGCCUCAAAUUCAGUCGAACACUUAGUACAUAGGAUUUGAGCAAAAAUCAAAUACUGUAAUUGCUUAAUGAAAUCUGAAAUUCUUUUCUUGAAACUGAACUAGUCUGUAAAUUUCAGUUCAUAUGUGCAUAUGUAAACAUGUUGUGAAAUA